CAGUCGCCACGGUAAUACGAAGGGUGCAAGCGUUACUCGGAAUUACUGGGCGUAAAGCGUGCGUAGGUGGUGGUUUAAGUCCGUUGUGAAAGCCCUGGGCUCAACCUGGGAAUUGCAGUGGAUACUGGGUCACUAGAGUGUGGUAGAGGAUAGUGGAAUUUCCGGUGUAGCAGUGAAAUGCGUAGAGAUCGGAAGGAACAUCUGUGGCGAAGGCGGCCCCCUGGACAAAGACUGACGCUCAGGUGCGAAAGCGUGGGGAGCAAACAGGAUUAGAUACCCCCGUAGUCCCUGUCUCUUAUAC
This 301-nucleotide ribosomal RNA is filed under the name uncultured bacterium. RNAcentral describes it as "partial 16S ribosomal RNA". It matches the Rfam family "Bacterial small subunit ribosomal RNA", at positions 509 to 807 of the family's 1533-position model. The record is from RNAcentral.